RNAcentral lists this long non-coding RNA (244 nucleotides) under Elaeis guineensis (African oil palm). Its description in RNAcentral is "long non-coding RNA (EGUI_LNC028716)". The record is from RNAcentral. Lineage: Eukaryota; Viridiplantae; Streptophyta; Magnoliopsida; Arecales; Arecaceae.
GUCAUAUGGACUGCUGUUAAGAUUCAUGACCGGCACCGUCGCCAAGUCCUUCCGGAAGAACAACCUUGGACCUUCCGGAAGAACAACCUUGGACAUAUCUCUAAUUUCAUAGAAGCAUCAUCUUAGAUCAGCUCUAUGUUCACCAUGUUUCUAAACACCCGUUUGCUUACCCCACUCAAUGGGGGUGGACCCCGAUCCACGGGACGCUUGGGUCAGUAGAGGGGUUCGAUUAGGAGGACGUCGG